GACGAACGCUGGCGGCGUGCUUAACACAUGCAAGUCGAACGGAAAGGCCCUGCUUUUGUGGGGUGCUCGAGUGGCGAACGGGUGAGUAACACGUGAGUAACCUGCCCUUUACUAUGGGAUAACUUCAGGAAACUGGGGCUAAUACCGGAUAGGAGCUCCUGCUGCAUGGUGGGGGUUGGAAAGUUUCGGUGGUUUGGGAUGGACUCGCGGCUUAUCAGCUUGUUGGUGGGGUAGUGGCUUACCAAGGCUUUGACGGGUAGCCGGACUGAGAGGGUGAGCGGCCACAUUGGGACUGAGGGACGGCCCAGGCUCCUACGGGAGGCAGCAGUGGGGAAGAUUGCACAAGGGGCGGAGGCCUGAUGCAGCAACGCCGCGUGCGGGAUGACGGCCUUCGGGUUGUAAACCGCUUUCGCCUGUGACGAAGCGUGAGUGACGGUAAUGGGUAAAGAAGCACCGGCUAACUACGUG
Molecule: ribosomal RNA, 468 nt
Filed under: uncultured bacterium
Lineage: Bacteria
Description: partial 16S ribosomal RNA
Rfam family: Bacterial small subunit ribosomal RNA
Source: RNAcentral